CCAACAGGGAUUGCCCCAGUAACGGCGAGUGAAGCGGCAACAGCUCAAAUUUGAAAUCUGGCUCUCGGGCCCGAGUUGUAAUUUGUAGAGGAUGCUUUUGGUGAGGUGCCUUCCGAGUUCCCUGGAACGGGACGCCAUAGAGGGUGAGAGCCCCGUCUGGUUGGACACCGACCCUCUGUAAAGCUCCUUCGACGAGUCGAGUAGUUUGGGAAUGCUGCUCUAAAUGGGAGGUAUAUGUCUUCUAAAGCUAAAUACCGGCCAGAGACCGAUAGCGCACAAGUAGAGUGAUCGAAAGAUGAAAAGAACUUUGAAAAGAGAGUUAAAAAGUACGUGAAAUUGUUGAAAGGGAAGCGCUUGUGACCAGACUUGGGCUUGGUUGAUCAUCCGGGGUUCUCCCCGGUGCACUCUUCCGGCCCAGGCCAGCAUCAGUUCGCCCUGGGGGACAAAGGCUUCGGGAAUGUGGCUCUCUCCGGGGAGUGUUA
This 482-nucleotide ribosomal RNA is filed under the name Fusarium stercicola. RNAcentral's name for it is "partial large subunit ribosomal RNA". It matches the Rfam family "Eukaryotic large subunit ribosomal RNA", at positions 65 to 558 of the family's 3401-position model. The record is from RNAcentral. Lineage: Eukaryota; Fungi; Ascomycota; Sordariomycetes; Hypocreales; Nectriaceae.